UCAUAAGCGUGGAUCAGGAAGAGUACGAGCAAGACCCUAAAGAGAGGGAGACCAUGUGCUGAAAGGUUUCCUAGGAUGUACUUGUUUGGAAGGUCGCCUGUGAGCUUAAUUUCUUGAAUGAACAAGUAGAGAAAUUCGGGAGAACCCCGUUAUCCUUUAGAGUGUAUGGGACACGUGUAUGUGUCUCGUGAAAAAAGGUGGUACCGCGAAAAAGCUUUUUCGUCCUUUUA
Bacillus pumilus SAFR-032 is the source of this 230-nucleotide non-coding RNA. Lineage: Bacteria; Bacillati; Bacillota; Bacilli; Caryophanales; Bacillaceae. The record is from Rfam.